RNAcentral lists this ribosomal RNA (504 nucleotides) under uncultured Eubacteriales bacterium. RNAcentral describes it as "bacterial SSU rRNA". It matches the Rfam family "Bacterial small subunit ribosomal RNA", at positions 55 to 578 of the family's 1533-position model. Lineage: Bacteria; Bacillati; Bacillota; Clostridia; Eubacteriales. The record is from RNAcentral.
AUGCAGUCGAACGGGGGUUAGUCUUCGGACUUAACUCUAGUGGCGGACGGGUGAGUACGCGUGGGCAACCUGCCUCGGACAGGGGAAUAACCCUGAGAAAUAUGGCUAAGACCUCAUAAGCUCCCGGUGUCGCAUGACACAGAGAGAAAAGAUUUAUCGGUUCGAGAGGGGCCCGCGGCUGAUUAGCUAGUUGGAGAGGUAACGGCUCACCAAGGCGACGAUCAGUAGCCGACCUGAGAGGGUGAUCGGCCACAUUGGGACUGAGACACGGCCCAAACUCCUACGGGAGGCAGCAGUGGGGAAUAUUGCGCAAUGGAGGAAACUCUGACGCAGCAACGCCGCGUGAAGGAAGAAGGUUUUCGGAUCGUAAACUUCAAUCCACAGGGAAGAAACAAAUGACGGUACCUGGGGGGAAGCCCCGGCUAACUACGUGCCAGCAGCCGCGGUAAUACGUAGGGGGCAAGCGUUAUCCGGAAUUACUGGGUGUAAAGGGUGAGUAGGCGG